CACAGAAUUUGCAGUCGGUGAAUCUGAUUUCACAGAUCAAAGCACCUCAUGACAGCUUUAUAGGAAAUCUUGUGCGAGGGAGAUUAUUCAUCUUGUGCUCCGGAGGCUUUCCACAAUAAGCCUGUGCCCAGAAAGGCCUUCCUCGUCGACCUCAACAGACUGAAACUGAUGAAGCUUGGAAUCUGAUGUUCCCUAGUUUAAAUGCUCAGUGAAGUAUUCAGCAAUCUUCGAAGUCGAGGCGAUGUGAACAAGAAGGGAUCCAUGGUGGAACCAAAUGCUCAGUCUGCGCUGGAUUUCCCCUCAUUGAAGAUAUCUGCGAGUCUUUCUGUAGAUCAACUGCGAUUGUAACCAGAGGAAAAUGCUCGAGUGUAACGUUUUCUCAGAAGACGGGGAGGUUUUUUGUGAUGUAUCUCUUAAGCGAGGUACGACCAAGAGCACGCAGAAAGAUGAGCAUAGUAUUAUAGCAUCUCGAUGGCAUCGGCGUCAGAUUCGAUGCAUGAAGAGUUCAGCCGUGAGCCAGUUCCAGUGUAAGACCCUCAUUCCAGCUGCCGAAACUGAUGAGUAAAAGUUCUUUAUCUGGCACUGCGGAUACUUCUAUCGGGAGACUUUAUCGUUCUUCAAGCUGACUAUUCAAAUCAAGCUGGAAUGGCCAAAACUGAUCAAUGAAGCGUGUUGCUUCACACUUGCCGACUCAGCAACAAGCGUCCCACACCAAAGAUACGUGGUGUUUGAAUGGGUAGAGCAAGUGAGCAACGCCACCCAAC
This 764-nucleotide long non-coding RNA is filed under the name Physcomitrium patens. Its description in RNAcentral is "long non-coding RNA (PPAT_LNC003523)". Lineage: Eukaryota; Viridiplantae; Streptophyta; Bryopsida; Funariales; Funariaceae. The record is from RNAcentral.